Molecule: long non-coding RNA, 861 nt
Organism: Thunnus maccoyii (southern bluefin tuna)
Lineage: Eukaryota; Metazoa; Chordata; Actinopteri; Scombriformes; Scombridae
Exons: 6
Source: RefSeq, a predicted model, not a curated record
CAGAUCAGUCAAUACCCAGCAUGCCAGGCCAAGAGGGCCAGCCUUAAGGAAAAAUCACAGUACAACCCAAUAGAGGUAUCUGAGCUGUUUGAGCUGGUGGGAAUGGAUCUUCUCAAGCUCACUGUCACUGACACAUCCCGGGGGUUAAGAAAGAUGAGCAUCAUUAUUCAAAUUCUAACAAUGUCUUAUUCAGAAUGUUAAGUUCAUUUUAACAACUGGACUUUUUGUAGCUGGAUGCUGCAAAAUAUGAUGUACUUAUUGGAGCAGUUUGCAAGGACGGACACUGGACGCUGGUGGCUAUGUACCCCAAGGAGCGUUUGUUGACCCUUUUGGUGCCACCAGUGCCCAGGUGAAGAAAUGCAAUGAAAUGACAAGGUCCGGGUCCGUAUAGGACAGCUUCUGGGUCCGGACCUGGACUGCGCUUAGUGACCUCUGAUGUAGAGCCUUCAUCAGAAGGAGGAACAUAAACAUCUCCAAGUGGUCGUGUGAUACAAUUUCUCAUCCCCACCAACAUGACACUACAUAAUGUGGGGUGCUGGUGUGUGUUUUCCAGUUUGUCAGUUAAUCCAUCUCUUUCAAUGAGACAAUUUACUUCAAUCUGUAUUCAAGGUGGCAGUGCAUAUAUUAAGGGGACAGAGGGCAGACUUUCCGGUUGACAUGGAGGCAGUCAACCAAAUGAGAAUGAAAAUGGCCCAAAUGCUGAUUUCCGAGUCAGAUGCAAUGGAGGAUGUUUGCCAUUUCUGUAGGGAGAAAAGCCCAGGAAUGACUGCACAGACCCAUGUUGACUGGAGAAAGAAGAAGAGAGAAUCAGAGAGGGGAUGGAGACAGAGGACGGUGGGCCAGUAAAACAGAAUAUAUUCU